RNAcentral lists this ribosomal RNA (474 nucleotides) under uncultured organism. RNAcentral describes it as "partial 16S ribosomal RNA". It matches the Rfam family "Bacterial small subunit ribosomal RNA", at positions 334 to 799 of the family's 1533-position model. The record is from RNAcentral.
CACUCCUGCGGGAGGCAGCAGUGGGGAAUUUUGGACAAUGGGCGAAAGCCUGAUCCAGCAAUGCCGCGUGAGUGAAGAAGGCCUUCGGGUUGUAAAGCUCUUUUGUCAGGGAAGAAACGGUGAGAGCUAAUAUCUUUUGCUAAUGACGGUACCUGAAGAAUAAGCACCGGCUAACUACGUGCCAGCAGCCGCGGUAAUACGUAGGGUGCAAGCGUUAAUCGGAAUUACUGGGCGUAAAGCGUGCGCAGGCGGUUUUGUAAGUCUGAUGUGAAAUCCCCGGGCUCAACCUGGGAAUUGCAUUGGAGACUGCAAGGCUAGAAUCUGGCAGAGGGGGGUAGAAUUCCACGUGUAGCAGUGAAAUGCGUAGAUAUGUGGAGGAACACCGAUGGCGAAGGCAGCCCCCUGGGUCAAGAUUGACGCUCAUGCACGAAAGCGUGGGGAGCAAACAGGAUUAGAAACCCCUGUAGUCCCAUG